UACGAAGGGGGCUAGCGUUGUUCGGAUUUACUGGGCGUAAAGCGCACGUAGGCGGAUCGAUCAGUCAGGGGUGAAAUCCCAGAGCUCAACUCUGGAACUGCCUUUGAUACUGUCGAUCUGGAGUAUGGAAGAGGUGAGUGGAAUUCCGAGUGUAGAGGUGAAAUGCGUAGAUAUUCGGAGGAACACCAGUGGCGAAGGCGGCUCACUGGUCCAUUACUGACGCUGAGGUGCGAAAGCGUGGGGAGCAAACAGG
Molecule: ribosomal RNA, 253 nt
Filed under: uncultured bacterium
Lineage: Bacteria
Description: partial 16S ribosomal RNA
Rfam family: Bacterial small subunit ribosomal RNA
Source: RNAcentral